GACGUAGGGGGCGAGCGUUGUCCGGAUUUAUUGGGCGUAAAGCGUGCGUAGGCGGCUGCGCAAGUCGGUUGUGAAACCCCGGGGCUCAACCCCGGAACUGCAUCCGAUACUGCGUGGCUAGAGGUAGGUAGGGGAGAUCGGAAUUCCUGGUGUAGCGGUGAAAUGACGCAGAUAUCAGGAGGAACACCGGUGGCGAAGGCGGAUCUCUGGGCCUUACCUGACGCUCAGGCACGAAAGCUAGGGGAGCGAACAGG
Molecule: ribosomal RNA, 254 nt
Filed under: uncultured bacterium
Lineage: Bacteria
Description: partial 16S ribosomal RNA
Rfam family: Bacterial small subunit ribosomal RNA
Source: RNAcentral